Molecule: ribosomal RNA, 914 nt
Filed under: uncultured archaeon
Lineage: Archaea
Description: bacterial SSU rRNA
Rfam family: Archaeal small subunit ribosomal RNA
Source: RNAcentral
UUCCGGUUGAUCCUGCCGGACCUGACUGCUAUCGGAUUGAUACUAAGCCAUGCGAGUCUUUGUAGUAAUACAAGGCAGACGGCUCAGUAACGCGUAGUCAACCUACCCUAUGGACGGGAAUAAUCUCGGGAAACUGAGCAUAAUACCCGGCGUACCACCAUUCCUGGAAUGGUUGGUGGUUAAAAUGAUUCGUCGCCGUAGGAUGGGACUGCGACCUAUCAGCUUGUUGGUGAGGUAAAGGCCCACCAAGGCGAUUACAGGUACGGGCUCUGAGAGGAGAAGCCCGGAGAUGGGUACUGAGACACGGACCCAGGCCCUAUGGGGCGCAGCAGGCGAGAAAACUUUGCAAUGUGCGAAAGCACGACAAGGUUAAUCCGAGUGAUUUCUGCUAAAGGAAUCUUUUGCCAGUUCUAAAAAUACUAGUGAAUAAGGGGUGGGCAAGUUCUGGUGUCAGCCGCCGCGGUAAAACCAGCACCUCAAGUGGUCAGGAGGAUUAUUGGGCCUAAAGCAUCCGUAGCCUGCUCUGUAAGUUUUCGGUUAAAUCUAUAUGCUCAACGUAUAGGCUGCCGAAAAUACUGCAGUGCUAGGAAGUGGGAGAGGUAGACGGUACUUGAUAGGAAGGGGUAAAAUCCUUUGAUCUAUCGAUGACCACCUGUGGCGAAGGCGGUCUACCAGAACACGUUCGACGGUGAGGGAUGAAAGCUGGGGGAGCAAACCGGAUUAGAUACCCGGGUAGUCCCAGCUGUAAACGAUGCAGACUCGAUGAUGCAUUGGCAUAUAGCCAGUGCAGUGUCGCAGGGAAGCCGUUAAGUCUGCCGCCUGGGAAGUACGUACGCAAGUAUGAAACUUAAAGGAAUUGGCGGGGGAGCACCACAAGGGGUGAAGCCUGCGGUUCAAUUGGAAUCAACGCCGGG